RNAcentral lists this long non-coding RNA (354 nucleotides) under Mytilus galloprovincialis (Mediterranean mussel). Lineage: Eukaryota; Metazoa; Mollusca; Bivalvia; Mytilida; Mytilidae. The record is from RNAcentral.
CGAUUCUGUAAUUUCGACCGAAACAUUCAAAAAUUCAUAUAAUAUUUUGUAUGAAAUGUACCAUCCAUAACUGACCGUGUUCUCCUUGAAAACGCAACAACAAUGUAUAAAAAAAUUAACAAAUGCCUUGAUUGUAGUAUUUCAUGGAUUUGUAUAAAUAUGUUCUUAAAAGAGUUGAAACGUUUCUUUUUAAAAUUCAAAGUGUAGUAAGCAUUAAACUUGGUGCGCACAUUUUGAAUAUGAUGCGCGGAAAAUUCCUAACAAAAAGGUAACUAGCGUUAAUUGAUGAAGUAGUAUGUUACAUUUUAUUUUUUGGCAAUCGUUUGAUGAGUUUGAGCUUUUGAUUUUGUCAUU